This 439-nucleotide non-coding RNA is filed under the name Pan troglodytes (chimpanzee). The record is from RNAcentral. Lineage: Eukaryota; Metazoa; Chordata; Mammalia; Primates; Hominidae.
GCCAGGGCCAUGCAAUCUGAAUGUGGGCUUGAUGCCAAGUAACAUCUAACAGGUCCAGUAAAAGAGGCCUACACAAUAAAGGCAGCAUGUGAGAAAGGCUGACUCUGGAACAUCAGGAUAAACUGCUAUAGUUUUCCACUAUUGAGCUGAAUUUCGUAUCACCAUCAAAAGUUACCUACCUACAAGUCCCUAGUAGAGAAAAUUUAACUUCUGGCUUUAAAGAAGGGACAGAAAAGUAGGCAGAUCUGCUAGGAAGCAAACUACAGCUCCCCUCAGGAGACACACAGGCAGUGGGUAAGAGGAACAGACCCAUGGCUCCACUGAAGACACAGAGCAGCAGACGAAAAAGACAUGUCCUAAAUGUUAAAUGGUAAGGAGGGGUAGGGUGAAAAAAGGGAACACGGAUGCCAGGCAGAAGAAAUAAAAGCCUUCCCAAACA